This 73-nucleotide transfer RNA is filed under the name Microbacterium foliorum. RNAcentral's name for it is "tRNA-Arg". It matches the Rfam family "tRNA". From Rfam's summary of the family: Transfer RNA (tRNA) molecules are approximately 80 nucleotides in length. Their secondary structure includes four short double-helical elements and three loops (D, anti-codon, and T loops). RNAcentral also lists the same sequence under 3 other names. The record is from RNAcentral. Lineage: Bacteria; Bacillati; Actinomycetota; Actinomycetes; Micrococcales; Microbacteriaceae.
GCCUUUGUAGCUCAGGGGAUAGAGCACCGCUCUCCUAAAGCGGGUGUCGCUGGUUCGAAUCCAGUCAAGGGCA